Molecule: ribosomal RNA, 400 nt
Filed under: phytoplankton environmental sample
Lineage: Eukaryota
Description: partial small subunit ribosomal RNA
Rfam family: Eukaryotic small subunit ribosomal RNA
Source: RNAcentral
AGCUCCAAUAGCGUAUAUUAAAGUUGUUGCAGUUAAAAAGCUCGUAGUUGAAUUUGUGGUGGUUGUUUGCCCCCCUUCACUCUGUGUUGGGUAGAGUAAGCAACCCCAUGCUUGGAGUGGAAGCUGUGUGGCAUUAAGUUGUCGUGCAGUGAAAGCCCAUCGUUUACUGUGAAAAAAUUAGAGUGUUCAAAGCAGGCAGUGGCUCAUGAAUAUAUUAGCAUGGAAUAAUGAGAUAGGACUUCGGUACUAUUUUGUUGGUUUGCGCACCGAGGUAAUGAUUAACAGGGACAGUUGGGGGUAUUCGUAUUCCAUUGUCAGAGGUGAAAUUCUUGGAUUUUUGGAAGACGAACGACUGCGAAAGCAUUUACCAAGGAUGUUUUCAUUAAUCAAGAACGAAAGU